RNAcentral lists this non-coding RNA (29 nucleotides) under Mus musculus (house mouse). The record is from RNAcentral. Lineage: Eukaryota; Metazoa; Chordata; Mammalia; Rodentia; Muridae.
UCAGUCCCUACCUGUUUGAGGUCCUCCUG